UUUUUGGAGGAAGGUUCGUCCGCUCCAAGUUAGUCGGGAGCUAAGGUGAGGCCGGAAGGCGUAGCCGAUGCACAGACGGUAGAGAUUCCGUCACCACCAAAAGAGUUAAGCACAGGGACACAUUUGAAGUCUCAGAGCCGGGUGUUGGUUCCGGUAGAGAUCGAGGGAAAUUAGUACCGAAGUCUGGGAUGGAAGAUGGCGAGAAAAGCUGUGUGUAUUUCUGAGGUGCCCGUACCGCAAACCGACACAGGUAGGUAGGAAGAAGAUUCUAAGGCCAACGGGAGAAGGGUUGUUAAGGAACUCGGCAAAUUGACCCCGUAACUUCGGGAGAAGGGGUGCUCCAGAGAUGGAGCCGCAGAGAAUCGGCCCAAGCAACUGUUUACCAAAAACACAGGUUUGUGCUAAAUCGAAAGAUGACGUAUACGAGCUGACGCCUGCCCGGUGCUGGAAGGUUAAGAGGAGAUGUGCAAGCAUUGAAUCGAAGCCCCAGUGAACGGCGGCCGUAACUAUAACGGUCCUAAGGUAGCGAAAUUCCUUGUCAGGUAAGUUCUGACCCGCAUGAAAGGCGUAAUGAUUUGGGCACUGUCUCAACAGCCCGCCCGGCGAAAUUGUAGUACCGGUGAAGAUGCCGGUUACCCGCGACAAGACGGAAAGACCCCAUGGAGCUUUACUGUAGCCUAAUAUUGGGUUUCGAUGUUGCAUGCACAGGAUAGAUGGGACACUGGGAAACAGGAGCUUUGGCUUCUGCGGAGUGGCCGUUGGGAUACCAUCCUUGCGAUAUUGGAAUUCUAACCUGCGGCUCUGAAUCGAGUCGGGGGACAUUGUUAGGUGGGCAGUUUGACUGGGGCGGUCGCCUCCUAAAAAGUAACGGAGGCGUUCAAAGGUUCGCUCAGCUUGAACGGAAAUCAAGCAAAAGAGUGCAAACGCAGAAGCGAGCCUAACUGCGAGACUGACGGGUCGAGCAGUAACGAAAGUUGGAGUUAGUGAUCCGGUGGUAUGUGAGUGGAAAUGCCAUCGCUCAACGGAUAAAAGUUACCCUGGGGAUAACAGGCUGAUCUCCCCCAAGAGUCCACAUCGACGGGGAGGUUUGGCACCUCGAUGUCGGCUCAUCGCAUCCUGGGGCUGUAUUCGGUCCCAAGGGUUUGGCUGUUCGCCAAUUAAAGCGGUACGCGAGCUGGGUUCAGAACGUCGUGAGACAGUUCGGUCCCUAUCUGUCGUGGGCGCAGGAUAUUUGAUGGGAGCUGUCCCUAGUACGAGAGGACCGGGACGGACGUACCUCUGGCGCACCAGUUGUUCCGCCAGGAGCAUAGCUGGGCAACUACGUACGGAUCGGAUAAACGCUGAAAGCAUCUAAGCGUGAAGCCGACCCAAAGAUAAGAUAUCCCAUUGUUUUAAACAAGUAAGACCCCUUGAAGACUACAAGGUUGAUAGGCACGAUGUGUAAGUGGAGCGAUCCAUUCAGCAAGCGUGUACUAAUAGGUCGAGGGCUUGACCA
RNAcentral lists this ribosomal RNA (1495 nucleotides) under human gut metagenome. RNAcentral's name for it is "bacterial LSU rRNA". It matches the Rfam family "Bacterial large subunit ribosomal RNA", at positions 1351 to 2925 of the family's 2925-position model. The record is from RNAcentral.